RNAcentral lists this unclassified non-coding RNA (253 nucleotides) under uncultured Armatimonadota bacterium. Its description in RNAcentral is "uncultured Armatimonadetes bacterium contains 16S-23S intergenic spacer region". It matches the Rfam family "Bacterial small subunit ribosomal RNA", at positions 524 to 776 of the family's 1533-position model. The record is from RNAcentral. Lineage: Bacteria; Bacillati; Armatimonadota.
UACGGAGGGUGCAAGCGUUAAUCGGAAUGACUGGGCGUAAAGCGCACGCAGGCGGUCUGCUGAGCCAGAUGUGAAAGCCCCGGGCUCAACCUGGGAACUGCAUUUGGAACUGGCAGGCUAGAGUCUUGGAGAGGGGGGCAGAAUUUCCGGUGUAGCGGUGAAAUGCGUAGAGAUCGGGGGGAAUACCAGUGGCGAAGGCGGCCCCCUGGCCAAAGACUGACGCUCAGGUGCGAAAGCGUGGGGAGCAAACAGG